GCUGCUCAAAUAUGCUACCCCUCCGCAGUGAGCAGCAGGUAACGGGAUCCACUCCCGGCUAUGGCACAG
This 69-nucleotide ribozyme is filed under the name unclassified sequences. Its description in RNAcentral is "HDV ribozyme from F. prausnitzii". It matches the Rfam family "HDV ribozyme from F. prausnitzii". The record is from RNAcentral.